This 6427-nucleotide long non-coding RNA is filed under the name Brassica rapa (field mustard). RNAcentral's name for it is "long non-coding RNA (BRAP_LNC006984)". Lineage: Eukaryota; Viridiplantae; Streptophyta; Magnoliopsida; Brassicales; Brassicaceae. The record is from RNAcentral.
CUGCUCAUCAUCGGAGAAGAUAAUUCCAAUGAACAAAUUAAAUUUAUGGUUUUUCAGAAACAGCCUAAGCUUAUCCACGGCUCUGUGAACACGCGCAUGCUUAACACCUCCAAACAUAUGUGAGGGUUCAACCUUCUCGUUUAACAGGUUUGACAUCACACGGAUUAACAAUAACUCUGUCACUCACCUCUUUCCAUACGUUUCAGUGACUUACUGCUUUUGUUGAGAUGCUUUAUCCGGAAGAUCAUGUUUGAAGGUUAAGAUCCGAUGUAUUUAUUUGUACAAAGACAGAGAUUUUGGUGAAACUUAAAGGGAAAUUAAGAGAAAAAGAGAGUCAUUAUAGAGAAAGGGAAACUUAGAAAUACUUUAUUCUUACUACUUUUGAGUGAGAUCUAUGGAAAAGAAAAGAUGAAUACAAAUUUUUUUUUUGGAGUCUCAAUUUUGAAAUUAGAGAGCAAUUGAAGUUCUAGGAAAAAUGUUGAAAAGCCAAAAAAUGUGAGGAGAGAGUCAAACGACAGAAGCAAGAUGAUGGAAGAAAAGAGGAGUGGUGACAUGUUCAUACCUAUGCAUUCAUGUGACAUGUUUACCCACUCUAUACUUUUCUUCUUCAUUAUUAGAGAAAAAUGCUAAUAGUUGAUAAAAAAAAAGAGAAACGAUAAUAAUAAUUAUUUAUAUUUCUACUUUUGACUUUUUCUUCAUGACUUUUGGGUAUCUAUAGAAAUAUUUUCUACAGUAGUCAUUAUAUUACUCUAACAUUUCACCAAUUAAAUCUAAUUUGAUUUUAAUAAAUAUAUAUAUAUAUAUAUAUACAAUUAAUGAGAUAUUUCUAUAAAUACAUGAAGGCAUGUGUUAAAUCCAGAGUUUAAAUAUUGGCUCAUGCGUGGAUGGGUGGGCAAAAAAACCGAACAAACUGAACCGAAACCGAUCCAAACCAAACCAAAGUCUAUUAUUAAAUAGUUCGGUUUAAAGCUAAAGUCACUGUUAACUUUAUUAAAAAAAAAUUUAAAAAAAAUUUCUAUUUAAUUUAGUUAACUUUGGUUUGAUUGUGUUCUUAUCAACUUUUUAUGAUUUUUAAGGUUUUUGUUUCAGUUUUCUAUUAGAUUUAAUUUACAUAGUUUAUUUUUAAGAGAAAUUAUUAGCAAUGUUUUUUAAUUUUCUAUUUAUGAUAGUUAACUUUGAUCUGAUUGUGUUCUUCUAAACUUUAUGGGUUUUAAAAAGAUUUUUGUUUAGUUUUACAUUGGAUUUAGUUUACAUAAUUUUUUUUUUCAUAGUAACCAACAUGAUGAUUUCGUGACCAUGGGUUUAUGUUUUAAAACAUGAUUUCUCUUAAAAGAACUAAACUAGGGGAAUCCGAUUGAACGAAACCGAAACACAAAUCAAGCCGAAUACAAACAGAACCGAAACCGAUCCAAACCUAACUAAUUAUGGUUAAAUUCAGUUGGAAAUUUUUUUAGAACCAAAUUAACCAGACCAAACCGAACCUAAACCGAAUCGAUAUAAUAACCGAAGUGCCCACCCAUACAGAGGAGAAAGAAACAAAAAGUGAUUAUGUACCUGGAAAAUAGACAACAUUCAAGGUAUUGACUCAGUGCUAGCCUCCCAAACGAAACCAGCUUAUCUAUGCAAAUUGAUCUUUUACCUGCACACACACUUACAUAUAUAUACUCGCAGGUUGUGUUCCAAAAAAAAUUAAAAAUCUUGCAGAUUCCACAAAAACCGUUUAUGAGAACUCAUGCAUCUUCUACUUAUUCUUUUGAGGUUUUUCUCUACGAAGAAGAAUGUAAGAAUUAGUUGACAAAUUUUAAGUGUUUAUGCAUAAAGACGGAGAUAUUUCGUUUCUGAAUUUAAAUUAUGAAAAUUCAGUAAAGCAAGAAAAUUUACAAAAAAAGUAAAGCAAGAAGAAUUUCCAUCGUCAUUCUCUCCCGCGAGUGGUGGCCAUGACCCAUGAGAUUAAGAAGUAAUAAUAAAAUCCCUGCUUUGUUCAUUCAUAAAGACAAUCAUACUCAAUUGGUGCACCAACAUAUUUUAAAAAUGUUAUAAGAUUUCACAUAUAUUAUUUUCUUCUUAUUAUUUGGCCAAAUAUUCAUAUAAAUACAAUAUUUUAUAUUCUAUAUAUAUUUAUAAUCAAUGAAAUACUUUUCAAAUAAAAUUGAUUUUAAUUUUUAAAAUCAUAAAAAUUAGUUAUAUUAAUAUCUUUAUAUUUUAAUAUUUUAAAAUUACUUUUAUUUAUUAAAAAAUAUAUCAUUAUUAUAAGAAAAAAUCAAUUUAUGUUAUGUGUUACUCUUACUUUAAAUUUCAAUUUUUGUUUAUUAUAAAAUGUCAACCCCGUCACACCACAUCAAAUGAUGAAGUUAUGUUUUAUUUAGUCACAUAUACAUAACAAAAUCGUAUUAAAAUAGUUAAAUCCGACACUAUGAAAAUGAAUGUGUCAUAAGAUGAAAACUAAACCUUUUUUGUUCACCUAUGAGAGAGCACGUAAACAAAGACCAUCUCCAUCCCUACUCCAUAAUUUACUCCAAAAAUAGAGUGGGAAACUAAGUAUCAACAAAAAAUAAAUAAUUACUCCAUACCUAUUACCCAGAAACAAUUAUUAAUUAGAUAAAAAUGAAUCCGAGCCAAUCCAAACAAUACCAACAGAUCAAACAAGUUCUUGUGCUUCAAUAGUCGUCCAAAUACAUGGCACAUAGUAACAAAACACAGCCCACAACCAUUUAACCAAAAAACCAUUACAAUAUCCAGUCAUCAGUCUGUGCAAAAUUAAAUAUAUUUCUGAACACUAACGGACAAUAAUAUAUAAACUAACACAGAAACGGCAAACAAACACUACUUCAUACUUAUGCACAGUAAUAACACACUAAGAAUAUACAAUUGAAUAGACUGAACUUCAAUAAACUCCAUCAGUUGCAUUUAAGUUAUAUGCCUUACAAAACUAUAAAAAAUGGCUACGGCAACAACACAAACUAUACAACCGCCUUACAAAAAUAUAAUUGGUCGAACAUCAUUCCAAAUUUUCUCUUCAAAUCAACUUACUCUACCCACUAACUCAAAAACCAUAAAUCAUUGCGUACAGCCGUACAUAAGUUAAAACCACCUAAGUACUAAUCAAGUAACACAACAAUGAUAACCACCAUUUCAACACCACAAAAUCCGGGACCUAAUUCCCAGUAUAACAUUAUCAACAUCAACACAUUACUAAACAUAUGGUUGAACAAUUAUCAUAGAUCCCGCGCGUAGCGCGGACACACCACUAGUAUAUAGUAAUACUUGGGCUUUUGAAAUCAUAAUUGGGAAUUUUCAUGUUUACUAUUUUAUUGGUAACAUUAUUUAUGUUUACAAUCACUAAAGAGACAUUUUCAAAAAUAUCUUUUCCACUAAGAGGUAAAAAAACUUAUAUCUUUGUUCUCUCUAUAUAUGUGUAAUAAGUAACUAUUCAAAUAAAUAAAUAAAAUAAAAAAUAAAAAAUAAUAUAUUUUUUUUAUGUUUUCGAAUUAUACUUUGUCAAAUUUGAAUAUUUUUAUAAUUUUUUUUUCAAAAUUUCUUUUUGAAAAUCAAAUUUUUUUUGAAACUAUUUAAAAAAUUUUAAAUAUUUAUUUAUAUAUUUAUUAAAAUCCUAAAUUUCACAUUCCAAAAACCAUAUACCACCCCUCAACUCUAAACCCUAAAUCUAGAUUAGUUAACCAUGGAGUUUAAAUAUAUUUUUUCCUUUUUAAAAGUGAGGAUAAAAAUGGUUAGUGUAAACAUGAAAAGUGGUAUUAUGAAUGUGGUUGUAACAUCUCGAGUUGUUGUGGGAACCGAAAUUUGCACUGUCGAUUUCCGUUUAAAUAAGGAAACUAGGAAAACCCUAAUUUCCCAGAGGUCCCGGAUCUCUGCGAGAGCCAACGACAAGUGAUCGAAUGUAUGCGGAAAUCAUGAAAAGAUAUCAAACGAGUUUAGAGAAAACAGUAGAUCUUAUUUCGAGUCCGCGUAAGAGCGUUGCGAUCAUUACAAGAGAAUACAAAGGCUUUGGCCGCAGGGGCCGUCAGCGAGUUACCUAGUUCUAGCAACAUAAAACCCUAAUCCUAGUUGAGUCGCAGCUCGAUAACAAAGGACGAAAAAGAUAUCUAAAAGGCUUAGAUUGAUUUCGGACUGAACCUUGUUAAAGGCUGUCUACGUACCCCUUUCGAGGAUCAAGCCGAACGUAGUUCAAUUGAUAGAGCUGGACAAGAGAUCGAACUGCCUGGGCGAGUUCGUCUAGUAAUUGAGUGCCAGUCAUAGAAACCGAACUUGUCGAGAAUAAGCCUACAGUUUCUAAGUGCAGAGAAUUCCGAAUCUAAAAAGUUCUCCUCUUGCUCCUCGCCUAGGACUCCUUAUAUACUAGCUCCAAGGUCGGUUUACGCUUUUACUCUUCUGCCCUUAAGCCGUCACAGCAUCAAAAUGGAGAUAUUCCAUUUUUUCCGAUCUUCACAAUUAUCUUCAAAACUUCCGUAUUUAUCCGCGGAAACUUGACAUUUAUCCUUCCUUGUGGACCAAGCGUAAACCAGGCUGUGGUUUACGGGCUUUUGGUUAGGAAAAUCAUAGGAUGGGCUUGAGUCGUGUUUUAGGCCCCUUUGGGCCGUCUUCCGACUCGACACGUUUACUACGAGUUUUUCGCGGUUUCUAAUCCGCGAAGUUUGAUCGAUGAAUUAGAAUGGCGGGAAACAUGGACUGAGCUUGCUACGGUCUUCGGGAGAUAGCAUUCGAAGGUUUUGACGAGAAUGCAAGAACUGGUGUCGUAUUGACGUUCGGAAAGGUUCAAUUGCUACACAGCGACCGAACUUUGGCUCGAGCCCGGUCGCUUCGUAGCGACCGAGCUUGGCUGAGCUCGGGACGAUCGCUCGGUCGCUAUGUAGCGACCGAGCUUUGGCUCGAGCUUGGUCGCUAUGUAGCGAUGAGCGAUCGUCCCGCUCGGUCCCGCUCGGUCGCUACGUAGCGACCGAGCUCAGCCAAGCUCGGUCGCUACGUAGCGACCGAGCGAUCAUCCUGCUCGGUCGCUAUUACAAUAAAGUUGACAAGUCUCAUUUCUCAUGAAGCCACCUCAGCGAAGGGGGUUCCAAAACGCGACACGUGUCAUCUCAUUAUUUAUUCAUCUCAAGUUUUUGUUUAUGUUAAUGGACCAAGUGUUCUAUUUAGUAAGUUAUUGGGCUUUUAUAAUGGACCAAGAGUUUCCAUCUUUUAGACGUUGGAGAUGCUGAGCAGAGCCGCAAUAUCAUGACGCCUCGGAACAAUUCCUCUAUAACGGCUGCAGUUUCAUUUAUUUGCUACUUCAAUUCACCAUUUAAGUUUCUCAGUUACGCCAUUAAAUCUAAUAUUUUCACUACGUCGUAUUCAAUAUCCCUACUCUUUCUCAAUAAAAUGAAAAUAACUAAAUUGAAGGUCACUGAGACAUGUCAUAUAGUCAAAAUAUUUAUCAAAUUAUAAAUACAUUAAAUUAUUCUAUCAAUUAAAAAAUAAUUACUCCAUAAAAAUAUGUUGUACAAAAAUUAUAGUUUGACCAUUGCCUUAGUAACAUAACAAAUUAAAUUAACAAUUUUUGCCAUUGAGAUUUAUCUUUUAUUUAUAAAGCUCAGUAAGACUAUUUUAGUUCGACAUAAGAAAAUUAACCAACCAUUCUUAUUCACAUUCAUGGCUGCUACAUAUACCAUUCCUAAACAGUUAUAGUCAAACACAUGAACAAACUUAGUUUCCAAAAAAAAAAAAACUUAAGCAACUUGAAAAUGAUAUUCAUUCAUUAUAUUCCAAAAAGUCUUUUGCCAUUUUCUUUGCGGCUUAAGCAGCUUGUAGAAACUAGCAUUUUCAUUAAUGAAUAUUUACCAUUUAGCAAAAAAAAAAACUUACUUUAUCAUUAAUCUAAUAUAAUCUAGUUCACUAAAAUUUGCACCAAAGUUUUGUUGAAAAUUUGGGGGAACAAAAAUACCAUAUCAUAUCUAGCUUCUACGUCUAACUGCAUCACCAGAGUCGUCCUAUGAAGAUCUACGUCCUAUAAAUAAGGAUGUGUUCCUCCGUGAAGCUCAAUCCUCCUUAGACUCUGAAACAGCCACCUUGAACCUUUUGUUAUCCGACUUGAAAGCCAGUUGUUGUGCCAACACCGUUGAAGCCCGACUUUUUGGGUUUACCUGCUCAUCAUCGGAGAAGAUAAUUCCAAUGAACAAAUUAAAUUUAUGGUUUUUCAGAAACAGCCUAAGCUUAUCCACGGCUCUGUGAACACGCGCAUGCUUAACACCUCCAAACAUAUGUGAGGGUUCAACCUUCUCGUUUAACAGGUUUGACAUCACACGGAUUAACAAUAACUCUGUCACUCACCUCUUUCCAUACGUUUCAGUGACUUACUGCUUUUGUUGAGAUGCUUUAUCCGGAAGAUCAUGUUUGAAGGUUAAGAUCCGAUGUAUUUAUUUGUACAAAGACAGAGAUU